This 1143-nucleotide ribosomal RNA is filed under the name uncultured Clostridia bacterium. Its description in RNAcentral is "bacterial SSU rRNA". It matches the Rfam family "Bacterial small subunit ribosomal RNA", at positions 8 to 1172 of the family's 1533-position model. Lineage: Bacteria; Bacillati; Bacillota; Clostridia. The record is from RNAcentral.
GAGAGUUUGAUCCUGGCUCAGGACGAACGCUGGCGGCGCGCCUAACACAUGCAAGUCGAACGAGCGAGAGAGAGCUUGCUUUCUCGAACGAGUGGCGAACGGGUGAGUAACGCGUGAGGAACCUGCCUCAAAGAGGGGGACAACAGUUGGAAACGACUGCUAAUACCGCAUAAGCCCACGACCCGGCAUCGGGUUGAGGGAAAAGGAGCAAUCCGCUUUGAGAUGGCCUCGCGUCCGAUUAGCUAGUUGGUGAGGUAACGGCCCACCAAGGCAACGAUCGGUAGCCGGACUGAGAGGUUGAACGGCCACAUUGGGACUGAGACACGGCCCAGACUCCUACGGGAGGCAGUAGUGGGGAAUAUUGCACAAUGGGGGAAACCCUGAUGCAGCGACGCCGCGUGGAGGAAGAAGGUCUUCGGAUUGUAAACUCCUGUUGUUGAGGAAGAUAAUGACGGUACUCAACAAGGAAGUGACGGCUAACUACGUGCCAGCAGCCGCGGUAAAACGUAGGUCACAAGCGUUGUCCGGAAUUACUGGGUGUAAAGGGAGCGCAGGCGGGAAGACAAGUUGGAAGUGAAAUCCAUGGGCUCAACCCAUGAACUGCUUUCAAAACUGUUUUUCUUGAGAAGUGCAGAGGUAGGCGGAAUUCCCGGUGUAGCGGUGGAAUGCGUAGAUAUCGGGAGGAACACCAGUGGCGAAGGCGGCCUACUGGGCACCAACUGACGCUGAGGCUCGAAAGUGUGGGUAGCAAACAGGAUUAGAUACCCUGGUAGUCCACACCGUAAACGAUGAUUACUAGGUGUUGGAGGAUUGACCCCUUCAGUGCCGCAGUUAACACAAUAAGUAAUCCACCUGGGGAGUACGACCGCAAGGUUGAAACUCAAAGGAAUUGACGGGGGCCCGCACAAGCAGUGGAGUAUGUGGUUUAAUUCGACGCAACGCGAAGAACCUUACCAAGUCUUGACAUCCUGCGACGGUGCUGGAAACAGUACUUUCCUUCGGGACGCAGAGACAGGUGGUGCAUGGUUGUCGUCAGCUCGUGUCGUGAGAUGUUGGGUUAAGUCCCGCAACGAGCGCAACCCUUAUGGUCAGUUACUACGCAAGAGGACUCUGGCCAGACUGCCGUUGACAAAACGGAGGAAG